UAAUAUAUGAAUUUUAGAGAAGAGAGAAACACAAAUGUCCAGUCUGUAACAGCGACUGGUCCUGCCACCUAGAGACACUCUUUAUGAACAUUAACGCACGUCAGGAAGAAAAUUAGGGACACUUCCCUUCUAACUUAUCUCUUCAGACACUUUGGAUUUUCCAUCAAAUGUUCCAGUAGAAAAAGACAUGCUUCUAUGAGAUGGGGACAAAAAUAUUACACCAGGAGGGUGUAGUAGUCAGGAUCUCCCUGUGCAGGCCACCCAGCUUAUUCACUUCAAGGAGACACCAUAUCUGGCCAACAGAUCAUCUAGAUGUGAAUGCCCUGCCAGAAUGAAGAGAAAAAGCACACAGUGAUGGUUCUUUAUAACAAAGUGACUAGGAUAUUGAUAUAUCAAUAAAAGGUGGGAGAUAAAGUCUAAUCCAACAGAAUCCAAGGCCAUGGAGCGGAGUGACUGAUAACAAAGAAGAUAAGAAAGAAACAGAUGACAGAGUCCUGGAAACAUCAUGGCGUCCUCAAUGAAGGAGUCUUUGGUUUCACUCCCUCACUCCUUUGAGGGGGUAGGGUAUGGAUAACCCUGAGGAAACAAUCAAGAGAAGGGGCAAUUGUGGAAGGUGUCGGUAAUGCCCAACCUGCAAUGGGAUACAUGGGCACAGAGGCUGGACCCAAGGUCACCAACCCAGGAACAUUACCUUGGAGACCAAACAAGAUUUGCCAGUUAACAGUCCGGGGUGCCAAUUUUCCGGCAGGGCAAGCAUGAUGGAGGAGAAGAAAUCAAACUAACUAAAGACAAGGAAAAGAAAGCCCAAUUCACAUUGAAACAUCUGACAUAAGCACCUGCAGUCACAAAGUUGCUACCAGUUCUGCUUCCUGAUUCAUUGCCUGGCAUCCUUUGCUUUGAGAUACCUGUGUCAAGAAAACCCUGCAGUUAACGUGGAUUUGGAGAGUGUGCUUUGAUCUUCUGUCUAAAGAUGACCAUAAAUCAAGGGAAAUUGGAAACCCUGUCCAGCGGCACCUGAGCUUCCAGAACACCUUGGGGUGACCCUCUAAAUGGACGCACACCAACUGCACUGUCCGGUACUCUAAGGCAAUGGUUGCCAAACAGUGUGUCUUAUGAAGAUUUAUGGAAUUAAAGUUAUCCUUAUGAAAAGGAUACUGAGGGCCAGGCUCGUGGACAAUGACCAGUAGGUUAAAACAAACAAUAAGGACAGCUUUGCUUGGCCAAAGAGGUGGCCAGAGGAUCUUGAUGAGGAAGCGGGAGACAGGACAAGCUAGAGAGCUAACACCUUCUUCCUCACUAGUUGGACUUUUUCAUUAUUCCCUCCAUGGCCAUUGGUCUUGAAGGUAGAUGGGCGACUCUCCUACUCCUGAGUAACCAAGUCCUGCUUAGAGCUGGAAGUUGUCUGGAAUAUUCACUCUGCAAUGGACUUAAAGCCCAGUAGAUAGGAAUCACAAGAUGGAGCACCUACAAGAGUUAGCUCAGAGACAGGACCGUCUCCCCCCUCCUGUUCCUGCAACACACACACACCCAUCCUAACUUAUUUAUUUCUUUAUGCUCAAUGGGCCUGGACUUACUAUUACAUAUUGUAUUAAUUAUAUAUAUUAUAUAUUAUAUUAUAUUAAUUAUAUUAAUUAUAUUAUAUUAUAUUAAUUAUAUUAUAUUAUAUAUCUAGCUUUUCCUUUAGUUAUCCGAUAUUUUGAAUUGCAUGUGCUUUCCAAAAAUGACCUAAAAUCCUUUGAGAAAAAAUAAUGUACAGAUCAACCACUUCAUAAAUGAAAAACUAAUGAAGUGUUAUUUUUCUUGUUAGGCCCCCCUGCUCCAGCCAGAGGUUCUCAGUCUGUUGUGUCCCCAAAGCUCCCCAUGAAAGCAUGGCUUCUAUGCUGUGUUGUGGCUUCUUAAACACAGGUAGCUUCGUGAGAGUAUUUGUGCUCCUCUUGGACAAGGACCCUCAUGCUUUCAGCAUGCUCCCCGAUGUCCAUUGGCACCCACCCAGCCCAGGGCGGGCCCCGGAACAUACCUUCCAUGACCAAACCAGGACCACUGUUUUAGCCAGCCAGAUCUGUGGAAUGACCUCUGGAGAUCAAUAGGGGUGAAAACUACUUUUCUUUCUACAUCAACUAUGCCCACAGUCAGAGUUUAAAUAAUACUGUUGAGUGACUGAGUGGAGGUCCUUGAGGAAGGAGGUGGCCAAUGAGAGACACCGGCAUAAGCUUUCUUCCUUGGAGAAAGCCAGUGUUCCUGGGGGUGCUCCGGACCACUGGAGUGUGGGGAUUCCCAGCUACCCGCAAGGCCUGACACAGAAAGCCCUGGGUCUGGUUCAGAGUCUGGAGGUUUAACAAGCCAUCCAGCUAAUUCUGAGCCAGGGUUUUCCCAGCAAUGCUAGUGAAGGAUAAAGAGCAGCCAGGAGGGUACGGCCCUCUCUGGAAGAAGCCACCUCCGCCCCCAAGCCUGAUGCCCUCAAAGCCUAGCAAGAAGCAGGGAGCAGACACCAACUCCACAGCCAACACCCAGUGUGAGCCUGGAUCAGUUACUUCCUCCUCACAGUUGUAAGACGAGCAAAACACCUGUGCACAUUAACCUCUACUACAGUACACCUUAAGGCAGGACGUGGAGAAAAAUUUAAUAAACUCUUUA
Molecule: long non-coding RNA, 2634 nt
Organism: Canis lupus familiaris (dog)
Lineage: Eukaryota; Metazoa; Chordata; Mammalia; Carnivora; Canidae
Exons: 7
Source: RefSeq, a predicted model, not a curated record